AUGGAAGCUGCAAAAUUUUUUGAAGGGACCAAGAAGCUGCUGAAGGUUUGGUUCUCCUGGUAGCAGCCUGAUACAAACGAAGGAUGUGGGGAUCUUAGCAGUAUUCCAAGAUCUGAGUGGGACAUAUUUUUGAAGGAUGUGUAAUGUUCAAUCAUAUGUGUGACAAAAACUGACAAGCAGGAAGCUUAUGUACUCAGUGAGAGUAGCAUAUUUGUCUCCAAGAGACGUUUCAUUUUGAAGACAUGUGGUACCACCCUCUUGCUGAAAGCACUGGUUCCCCUGCCGAAGCUUGCUGGGGAUUACAGUGGGUUUGACUCGAUUCAAAGCCUCUUUUAUUCUCAUAAGAAUUUCAUUAAGCCUUUUCACCAAGGGUACCCUAACCAGAAUUUCCAGGAAGACAUAGAGUUUCUUAAUGCAGUUUUCCCAAAUGGAGCAGCAUAUUGUAUGGGAUAUAUGAAUUCUGACUGUUAGUACUUAUAUACUCUGGAGUUCCCAGAGAGUUGGGUAACCAGUCAGCCAGAUCAAACCCUGGAAAUUCUGAUGAAGUGAACUUGACCCAGCAGUUACGGACCAGUUCUACAUGAAAGAUGGUGUUACUGCAAAGAAUGUCACUCAUGAGAGUGGAAUUUGUGACCUGAUUCCAGGUUCUGUCACUGAUGACACAAUAUUUAAUCCUUUUGAGCAUUUGAUGAAUGGAAUGAAAUCAGACAAAACUUAUUAUUCACAUCGCUCCAGAACCAGAAUCCUCUUAUGUUAGCUUUGAAACAAACUUAAGUCAGACCUCCUAUGAUGACCUGAUCAGAAAAGUUGUGGAACUCUUUAAGCGAGGAAAAUUUGUGACGACCUUGUAUGUUAUUUAGAGUUCUAAAUGUUGCACAGUGCUUUCUUUGCCCCAGAAGAUUUAAGGUUUUAAGUGUCUUGAUUGUCAGAGGGCUAUGUUCAAUGAUUACAAUUUUGUUUUUACCUGUUUUGCUAAAAAUUUGCAACAGCAA
This 992-nucleotide long non-coding RNA is filed under the name Homo sapiens (human). RNAcentral's name for it is "non-protein coding lnc-TMLHE-3:1". Lineage: Eukaryota; Metazoa; Chordata; Mammalia; Primates; Hominidae. The record is from RNAcentral.